CCACCUUGAACCGUCACUUCACGUGUGUGGGUGAGGAGGGAUCUCAUUACUCACCCUACAAGCAGCCUGGGCCAGGCAACACCGACUCACCUUUGCCACCCUGGAAGUUUCUUGCAAAGUGCAUGGCACCCAGGAUCACUGAACAAACGAGGGCAAGACUUCGUGGCAAUGCACCACGGAGGACACAGGGUAUUUAUCAUCUUAUGGACUCAGCAAUGCUCUCCAACACAGUGAUCCUCCCAGACACGGAGCCCAUUAAUCACCACCAGUGUGCAGAACAAGGGAGUGCAAACCAUGCCUUGGGUUUAUUUCUAAAUGGAAAAAGGCCACCAAAUAGCCCAGACGAAAGGCAGAGUCCUCAACAGUAAGAAUGAAAGAAAUGAUUGAUUCAUCAGCCUUCAGGGGACGAUGAGACAGCAGUGAAUUUGCCUCUCCUGAUUGACUGCAAGCCUGGGCAUCAUCCCCAGAAGAUGAGACAGGCACCACCGCACCUGCCUCGGGCCGGGAAGAUGCCGUGCUUCCCAAUGCAGGCUACCUCUUCACCAGUUUUUUUUCGGCGGACACAACAUCUUUGUUUGUAUGUGGUGCUGAGGAUCGAACCCGGGCUGCACGCAUGCCAGGCCAGCGCGCUACCGCUUGAGCCACAUCCCCAGCCCCAGGUUCCCACCAUCUACCCAAGUUCUUGAACUUGUUCCUGCUGCCACCCCCAGGAAUGGCCAAGGAAGAGCAGCCGGGAUCACAGGCUUGGGUGCUUUGAUGCUUUGGAGUUGAAGCACCCCUUCCUCGGUGACCCUGGGAGAGACACUUUCCUUAUCAGUAAAGUGAGUUAAUACGA
Marmota monax (woodchuck) is the source of this 835-nucleotide long non-coding RNA. RefSeq lists it as uncharacterized. NCBI's taxonomy places the organism in Eukaryota, Metazoa, Chordata, Mammalia, Rodentia, Sciuridae. The record is from RefSeq and is a predicted model, not a curated record. The transcript is spliced from 5 exons.